AACGAACGCUGGCGGCAUGCCUAACACAUGCAAGUCGAACGAGACCUUCGGGUCUAGUGGCGCACGGGUGCGUAACGCGUGGGAACCUGCCUUUAGGUUCGGAAUAACUCAGAGAAAUUUGAGCUAAUACCGGAUAAUGUCUUCGGACCAAAGAUUUAUCGCCUUUAGAUGGGCCCGCGUUGGAUUAGCUAGUUGGUGGGGUAAAGGCCUACCAAGCCGACGAUCCAUAGCUGGUUUGAGAGGAUGAUCAGCCACACUGGGACUGAGACACGGCCAGACUCCUACGGGAGGCAGCAGUGGGGAAU
This 305-nucleotide ribosomal RNA is filed under the name uncultured bacterium. RNAcentral describes it as "bacterial SSU rRNA". It matches the Rfam family "Bacterial small subunit ribosomal RNA", at positions 29 to 362 of the family's 1533-position model. The record is from RNAcentral.